GCUCACUUCAGCAGCACAUAUACUGAAGCGAUACAGAGAAUAUUAGUGUGGCCCUUGCGCAAGGAUGACUUGCAAAUUCGUGAAGCGUUCCAUAUUUUU
Molecule: small nuclear RNA, 99 nt
Filed under: Panthera pardus (leopard)
Lineage: Eukaryota; Metazoa; Chordata; Mammalia; Carnivora; Felidae
Source: RNAcentral